RNAcentral lists this unclassified non-coding RNA (18 nucleotides) under synthetic construct. Its description in RNAcentral is "RNA (5'-R(*CP*CP*AP*GP*CP*AP*UP*UP*AP*UP*GP*AP*AP*AP*GP*UP*GP*A)-3') from synthetic construct (PDB 5DV7, chain A)". The record is from RNAcentral.
CCAGCAUUAUGAAAGUGA